GAUGAACGCUGGCGGCGUGCCUAACACAUGCAAGUCGAGCGGACGGACGCGGAGCUUGCUUCUCUGAUGUUAGCGGAGCACGGGUGAGUAACACGUGUAUACCCUACCUAUCAGUCUGGGAUAACUUCGGGAAACCGGCGCUAAUACCGGAUAAUAUUUUGAACCGCAUGGUUCAAUAGUGAAAGACGGUCUUGCUGUCUCGUAUCGCUGGAUCUGCGCUGCAUUAGCUAGUUGGUAAGGUAACGGCUUACCAAGGCAACGAUGCAUAGCCGACCUGUGAGGGUGAUCGGCCACACUGGAACUGAGACACGGUCAAGACGCCUAAGGGAGGCAGCAGUAGGGAAUCGUCCGCAGUGGGCGAGAGCCUGACGGAGCAACGCCGCGUGAGUGAUGACGGUCUUCGGAUCGUAAAGCUCUGUUAUGAGGGAAGAACAGAUGUGUAAUGAAAUGUGCAGAGCUUGACGGUACCGAGUCAGAAAGCCACGGCUAACUACGUG
This 497-nucleotide ribosomal RNA is filed under the name uncultured bacterium. RNAcentral's name for it is "partial 16S ribosomal RNA". It matches the Rfam family "Bacterial small subunit ribosomal RNA", at positions 28 to 507 of the family's 1533-position model. The record is from RNAcentral.